GACCUAAAGGAUCCACCUGGAACACUCGAGAUUCAGGAGCAUGUUCAUUGUUUCCGUGAUCUGGGGGAUUAUAUAGCACAAAAUUAUGACUUCUUGAUUGUUCCAUUUUGAUAAUACUGAAUUUCUUUUCCCUCCAAUUCAACUUCAAUGGAAACAACUGGUGACACCACAAUGCUAUUAAUAACUUGAGAAUGCCAUAGAGAUGAAGCACAAUCCUUAGUGCAGCAGAAGGAAAACUUCGCUUGAAAAUAAGUUUAUUGACAUUUACACAAUACAUAUAUGUAAAAUUUGAGAAGCAUUGCCAGUACACACCAAAAAUCACAGUCUCAGCUCGUGAUACAGGAAACACUAGCAAUAGAAUUCAGGACCAGGAGCAAAAUGCACUGCAAAAAAGAAAAUAAAUCAAAUAUUUUAGACAAAGAGCU
RNAcentral lists this long non-coding RNA (425 nucleotides) under Olea europaea subsp. europaea. Lineage: Eukaryota; Viridiplantae; Streptophyta; Magnoliopsida; Lamiales; Oleaceae. The record is from RNAcentral.